AAGUCGUAACAAGGUUUUCGUAGGUGAUCCUGCGGAAGGAUCAUUAACACGUAUCCAAACGUUAAAACCCCCCCCGUGAACCUUCAUCCUGCUCUUGUAACCCGCGUAGUUCGCAAUCUCUGAUAAGUCAUAGCCCGGAAAGUUGUAGCAGUUACAAUCGAGCGGUAGUUCUAUAGGCAAUGUUUCCCCAAGCAGUCAGUGUCGGAAAGUGUCAUUGAUUGUGCAAGGAUAGCGCUUCUACGAUUCCUGUAGACCGUACACUCGGGCAGGAGCUUUGCCAAAGGGUCCCCAUGCCCCCUAAUAACCCCACAGUUUAAUGUGAAGCUCAAUGUAAUACAUUGGGUAAAAAAACCGAACAACUGUUAACAAUGGAUAUCUUGGUUCUC
RNAcentral lists this unclassified non-coding RNA (386 nucleotides) under fungal sp. RNAcentral describes it as "partial internal transcribed spacer region". The stretch from base 1 to 46 matches the Rfam family "Eukaryotic small subunit ribosomal RNA", at positions 1786 to 1831 of the family's 1831-position model. Lineage: Eukaryota; Fungi. The record is from RNAcentral.